UACGGGGGGGGCAAGCGUUAUUCGGAAUCACUGGGCUUACAGGGUGCGUAGGCGGCUUAGCAAGUCAGGUGUGAAAGCCCCCGGCUCAACCGGGGAACUGCGCUUGAAACUGCUGAGCUCGAGUCAGCUAGAGGUACACGGAACUUCCAGUGGAGCGGUGAAAUGUGUUGAUAUUGGAAGGAACACCGGAGGCGAAAGCGGUGUACUGGGGCUGGUCUGACGCUGAGGCACGAAAGCCAGGGGAGCGAACGGG
RNAcentral lists this ribosomal RNA (253 nucleotides) under uncultured bacterium. Its description in RNAcentral is "partial 16S ribosomal RNA". It matches the Rfam family "Bacterial small subunit ribosomal RNA", at positions 524 to 776 of the family's 1533-position model. The record is from RNAcentral.